Molecule: non-coding RNA, 73 nt
Organism: Ictidomys tridecemlineatus (thirteen-lined ground squirrel)
Lineage: Eukaryota; Metazoa; Chordata; Mammalia; Rodentia; Sciuridae
Source: Rfam
GGGGAUAUAGCUCAGUUGGUACAGUGCUUCCCUUGCAUGCAUAAGGCCCUGGGUUCAAUCCCCAGCACCACCA